RNAcentral lists this ribosomal RNA (396 nucleotides) under Trieres chinensis. Its description in RNAcentral is "partial small subunit ribosomal RNA". It matches the Rfam family "Eukaryotic small subunit ribosomal RNA", at positions 30 to 432 of the family's 1831-position model. The record is from RNAcentral. Lineage: Eukaryota; Bacillariophyta; Thalassiosirophyceae; Eupodiscales; Parodontellaceae.
GCUUGUCUCAAAGAUUAAGCCAUGCAUGUCUAAGUAUAAACAAAUCUAUACUGUGAAACUGCGAAUGGCUCAUUAUAUCAGUUAUAGUUUAUUUGAUGGUUCUUGCUACUUGGAUAACCGUAGUAAUUCUAGAGCUAAUACAUGCAUCAAUACCCAACUGUUCGCGGAAGGGUAGUAUUUAUUAGGUAUAGACCAACCCUCCUCGGAGGUGCUUUGGUGAUUCAUAAUAACUUUCGGAUCGAUCUUCGGAUCGAUGCAUCAUUCAAGUUUCUGCCCUAUCAGCUUUGGAUGGUAGGGUAUUGGCCUACCAUGGCUUUAACGGGUAACGGAGAAUUAGGGUUCGAUUCCGGAGAGGGAGCCUGAGAAAUGGCUACCACAUCCAAGGAAGGCAGCAGG